RNAcentral lists this ribosomal RNA (472 nucleotides) under uncultured organism. RNAcentral describes it as "partial 16S ribosomal RNA". It matches the Rfam family "Bacterial small subunit ribosomal RNA", at positions 333 to 797 of the family's 1533-position model. The record is from RNAcentral.
ACACUCCUACGGGAGGCAGCAGUAGGGAAUCUUCGGCAAUGGGGGCAACCCUGACCGAGCAACGCCGCGUGAGUGAAGAAGGUUUUCGGAUCGUAAAGCUCUGUUGUAAGUCAAGAACGAGUGUGAGAGUGGAAAGUUCACACUGUGACGGUAGCUUACCAGAAAGGGACGGCUAACUACGUGCCAGCAGCCGCGGUAAUACGUAGGUCCCGAGCGUUGUCCGGAUUUAUUGGGCGUAAAGCGAGCGCAGGCGGUUUGAUAAGUCUGAAGUUAAAGGCUGUGGCUCAACCAUAGUUCGCUUUGGAAACUGUCAAACUUGAGUGCAGAAGGGGAGAGUGGAAUUCCAUGUGUAGCGGUGAAAUGCGUAGAUAUAUGGAGGAACACCGGUGGCGAAAGCGGCUCUCUGGUCUGUAACUGACGCUGAGGCUCGAAAGCGUGGGGAGCGAACAGGAUUAGAAACCCGAGUAGUCCC